AGGUAACGGCUUACCAAGGCAACGAUGCAUAGCCGACCUGAGAGGGUGAUCGGCCACACUGGAACUGAGACACGGUCCAGACUCCUACGGGAGGCAGCAGUAGGGAAUCUUCCGCAAUGGGCGAAAGCCUGACGGAGCAACGCCGCGUGAGUGAUGAAGGUCUUCGGAUCGUAAAACUCUGUUAUUAGGGAAGAACAUAUGUGUAAGUAACUGUGCACAUCUUGACGGUACCUAAUCAGAAAGCCACGGCUAACUACGUGCCAGCAGCCGCGGUAAUACGUAGGUGGCAAGCGUUAUCCGG
RNAcentral lists this ribosomal RNA (301 nucleotides) under Staphylococcus aureus. Its description in RNAcentral is "bacterial SSU rRNA". It matches the Rfam family "Bacterial small subunit ribosomal RNA", at positions 255 to 548 of the family's 1533-position model. The record is from RNAcentral. Lineage: Bacteria; Bacillati; Bacillota; Bacilli; Caryophanales; Staphylococcaceae.